RNAcentral lists this non-coding RNA (23 nucleotides) under Cricetulus griseus (Chinese hamster). The record is from RNAcentral. Lineage: Eukaryota; Metazoa; Chordata; Mammalia; Rodentia; Cricetidae.
UAUCACGGAGAUGUCGAUGAUGA